GUUGUCGUGGUCCGCAUGGAUUGUUGGCCAACCAUGUAGUUUGUGCGGUGGGAAUCAGUGUUGGCAGAGACUGUGUGGUGACCGUGUUUUUGCUGUUGCAGAGCAGGGGGAGUAUUUGAAGAAAAAUCUGUGAACACCCGUGAAUGUGUCUCCUUUAUAAUGCAGCACUACCGAGGCUGGCAGAUGGACCCUUGCAUGACGUCAAACCUGGUGACUUUGUGCUGAUAAAGAACUUCACGUUUUCCGCCGGGAGACAUCAGCGCUGCCUGGGCCCUUUCCAAGUUCUCCUCAUGACCAACACUGCAGUGAAGGUCAUUGAAAGGGUUAUGUGGGUUAACACAUCACACUGUGUGAACAUCCCAGUGCCUCCCCAUCUUCUCCGGCGAUUGACCUUAAAAGUUAUCAAGGUAAUAGAAAUGGUUUGUCAUAAGGGUGUGACUGCUAGCUAGACCUGACAGACAACUUGCAGGAAGAGAUGUCCAUGGAUUACUUAACAUAAAAACAAUCGGCUGAAAUGGUCCAGUCUUCCGGGAUCUCCUCCUGUCCGGCGAGAGCCUUUCUCACCUGUUCUUGAAAAACCACACAACUCUCUUCCUUUCUCAGCAUGCACCACAUGGUUCCCUGCUCUGCCUUGUCUUCCUAAUCUUCCUCCUCAUCACAAGUCAUCUUACACACCACCAUCCUAUGAUAUUUAGCCAUACA
Molecule: long non-coding RNA, 702 nt
Organism: Syngnathoides biaculeatus (alligator pipefish)
Lineage: Eukaryota; Metazoa; Chordata; Actinopteri; Syngnathiformes; Syngnathidae
Exons: 4
Source: RefSeq, a predicted model, not a curated record